Neogale vison (American mink) is the source of this 122-nucleotide ribosomal RNA. NCBI's taxonomy places the organism in Eukaryota, Metazoa, Chordata, Mammalia, Carnivora, Mustelidae. The record is from Ensembl.
GCCUAUGGCCAUACCACCCUGAACGCGCCUGAUCUCGUCUGAUCUUGGAAGCUAAGCAGGGUCGGGCCUGGUUAGUACUUGGAUGGGAAAUUUCUAAAAUAAAAAUAUGGCAGUUCUUUCUU